Long non-coding RNA from Sinocyclocheilus rhinocerous, 454 nucleotides. RefSeq lists it as uncharacterized. The record is from RefSeq and is a predicted model, not a curated record. The transcript has 3 exons. Lineage: Eukaryota; Metazoa; Chordata; Actinopteri; Cypriniformes; Cyprinidae.
GUUUACAGAAGUUUACGUUGAUUACCUGCCAAGGGGCCGCGGAUGAAAACUAGCCAUUGGCUAAAUUUGGUACAAUGCAUGAAAUGCAAACAUUUACGUUAAAAUUGUACAUGGUCCCUUUUCAAAUACAUUUUAAUAAAUAAAUAAAUAAUAGCGAGGCUGUUGGAGCAUUAGACCCUGGUGAGGUGGUGUGUGCAAACGCUUAGUCCCUCCCCCUCCCCAUGACCUUUAACCCUGGUUCGCUACACACUGCACACCUCCUGCUGCUCUGUCGCUCAGAAGAGAGACACUAGUGCAGACAGAGAGGGCAGAGAGCUGAUAGAAAAUGGCAACAAAGAGAGAGAUCAAAUGCAAAUGCUACUGGGGGAGGAUAGUUAUGCAUCUGCAAAAUUCAUAUUUCAGCCGCACUCCCUCAGAAACCACUUCGAUCAUCAUAUUCAAGUUGUCUAUGCAG